CCGCGUGAAGGAUGAAGGUCCUCUGGAUUGUAAACUUCUUUAUAUGGGACGAAACCCUCGGAUUCCUCCGGGAUUGACGGUACCAUAGGAAUAAGCACCGGCUAACUCCGUGCCAGCAGCCGCGGUAAUACGGAGGGUGCAAGCGUUAUCCGGAUUCACUGGGUUUAAAGGGUGCGUAGGAGGACUGGUAAGUCAGUGGUGAAAUCCCCGAGCUUAACUUGGGAACUGCCGUUGAUACUAUCAGUCUUGAAUACCGUGGAGGUGAGCGGAAUAUGUCAUGUAGCGGUGAAAUGCUUAGAUAUGACAUAGAACACCAAUUGCGAAGGCAGCUCGCUACACGAAUAUUGACUCUGAGGCACGAAAGCGUGGGGAUCAAACAGGAUUAGAUACCCUGGUAGUCCACGCCCUAAACGAUGGAUACUCGACAUACGCGAUACACAGUGUGUGUCUGAGCGAAAGCAUUAAGUAUCCCACCUGGGAAGUACGACCGCAAGGUUG
Molecule: ribosomal RNA, 498 nt
Filed under: uncultured Bacteroidota bacterium
Lineage: Bacteria; Pseudomonadati; Bacteroidota
Description: bacterial SSU rRNA
Rfam family: Bacterial small subunit ribosomal RNA
Source: RNAcentral